AACGCGAAGAACCUUACCAGCCCUUGACAUGUCCCGUGUGGGCCGGAGAGAUCCGGUCCUUCAGUUCGGCUGGCGGGAACACAGGUGCUGCAUGGCUGUCGUCAGCUCGUGUCGUGAGAUGUUGGGUUAAGUCCCGCAACGAGCGCAACCCCCAUCUUCAGUUGCCAGCGGUUCGGCCGGGCACUCUGAAGAAACUGCCGGUGACAAGCCGGAGGAAGGCGGGGAUGACGUCAAGUCCUCAUGGCCCUUAUGGGCUGGGCUACACACGUGCUACAAUGGCGGUGACAGCGGGAUGCAAAGGGGCGACCCUGAGCCAAUCUCGAAAAGCCGUCUCAGUUCGGAUUGCUCUCUGCAACUCGCCUGCAUGAAGUCGGAGUUGCUAGUAAACGCAGGUCAGCAUACUGCGUUGAAUAUGUUCCCGGGCCUUGUACACACCGCUACAGU
This 444-nucleotide ribosomal RNA is filed under the name uncultured bacterium. RNAcentral's name for it is "bacterial SSU rRNA". It matches the Rfam family "Bacterial small subunit ribosomal RNA", at positions 958 to 1401 of the family's 1533-position model. The record is from RNAcentral.